This 459-nucleotide ribosomal RNA is filed under the name uncultured bacterium. RNAcentral describes it as "partial 16S ribosomal RNA". It matches the Rfam family "Bacterial small subunit ribosomal RNA", at positions 338 to 795 of the family's 1533-position model. The record is from RNAcentral.
ACUACGGGAGGCUGCAGUGAGGAAUAUUGGUCAAUGGGAGAGAUCCUGAACCAGCCAAGCCGCGUGAGGGAAGACGGCCCUAUGGGUUGUAAACCUCUUUUGUCGGAGAACAAAACCCGGGACGUGUCCCGGACUGCGUGUAUCCGAAGAAAAAGCAUCGGCUAACUCCGUGCCAGCAGCCGCGGUAAUACGGAGGAUGCGAGCUUUAUCCGGAUUUAUUGGGUUUAAAGGGUGCGUAGGCGGUCCGUUAAGUUAGCGGUAAAAUGUCGGGGCUCAACCCCGUCGAGACGUUGAAACUGGCAGACUGGAGUUGGCGAGAGGUACGCGGAAUGCGCGGUGGAGCGGUGAAAUGCAUAGAUAUCGCGCAGAACUCCGAUUGCGAAGGCAGCGUACCGGCGCCAGACUGACGCUGAGGCACGAACGCGUGGGGAUCGAACAGGAUUAGAUACCCCAGUAGUC